Molecule: small nuclear RNA, 23 nt
Filed under: Arabidopsis thaliana (thale cress)
Lineage: Eukaryota; Viridiplantae; Streptophyta; Magnoliopsida; Brassicales; Brassicaceae
Description: snRNA_12116
Source: RNAcentral
CACCACCAACGGUGGUUCUUUAA